GACGAACGCUGGCGGCGUGCCUAAUACAUGCAAGUCGAACGCAGUGGGGACGGGUGAGUAACACGUGGGUAACCUCCCAUCAGAGGGGAUAACACUUGGAAACAGGUGCUAAACCGAUACUGAUGGAUGGACCCGCGGUGCAUUAGCCAGUUGGUGAGGUAACGGCUCACCAAGGCCACGAUGCAUAGCUGGCCUGAGAGGAUGAUCAGCCACACUGGGACUGAGAAAGGGCCCAGACUCCUACGGGAGGCAGCAGUGGGGAAUCUUCGGCAAUGGACGAAAGUCUGACGGAGCAAUGCCGCGUGAGUGAAGAAGGUUUUCGGAUCGUAAAACUCUGUUGUCAGGGAGGCGGUAUCUAACCAGAAAGCCACGGCUAACUACGUGCCAGCAGCCGCGGUAAUUC
Molecule: ribosomal RNA, 403 nt
Filed under: uncultured bacterium
Lineage: Bacteria
Description: partial 16S ribosomal RNA
Rfam family: Bacterial small subunit ribosomal RNA
Source: RNAcentral